GAUUGACCUCGGAUCAGUAGGAUACCGCUGACUUAAGCAUAUCAUAAGCGGAGGAAAAGAAACCAACAGGGAUUGCCUCAGUAACGGCGAGUGAAGCGGCAACAGCUCAAAUUUGAAAUCUGGCCUCCUUUGGGGCCCGAGUUGUAAUUUGCAGAGGAUGUUUCGGGUGCGGCACCGUUCUAAGUUCCUUGGAACAGGGCGUCAUAGAGGGUGAGAAUCCCGUACGUGACCGGUCGCCAACCCCAUGUGAAACUCCUUCGACGAGUCGAGUUGUUUGGGAAUGCAGCUCAAAAUGGGUGGUAAAUUUCAUCUAAAGCUAAAUACUGGCCAGAGACCGAUAGCGCACAAGUAGAGUGAUCGAAAGAUGAAAAGCACUUUGGAAAGAGAGUUAAAAAGUACGUGAAAUUGUUGAAAGGGAAGCGCUUGCAGCCAGACUCGCCCGGGGGUGAUCAGCCUACCUUCUGGCAGGUGUACUCUCCCCCGGCCGGGCCAGCAUCGGUUCGGACGGCCGGAUAAAGGUCCCGGGAACGUAGCUCCUCUCGGGGAGUGUUAUAGCCCGGGGCGUAAUGCGGCCAGUCUGGACCGAGGACCGCGC
Molecule: ribosomal RNA, 595 nt
Filed under: Stictis brunnescens
Lineage: Eukaryota; Fungi; Ascomycota; Lecanoromycetes; Ostropales; Stictidaceae
Description: LSU rRNA
Rfam family: Eukaryotic large subunit ribosomal RNA
Source: RNAcentral